This 98-nucleotide small nuclear RNA is filed under the name Erinaceus europaeus (western European hedgehog). RNAcentral describes it as "U2 spliceosomal RNA". It matches the Rfam family "U2 spliceosomal RNA". From Rfam's summary of the family: U2 is a small nuclear RNA (snRNA) component of the spliceosome (involved in pre-mRNA splicing). Complementary binding between U2 snRNA (in an area lying towards the 5' end but 3' to hairpin I) and the branchpoint sequence (BPS) of the intron results the bulging out of an unpaired adenosine, on the BPS, which initiates a nucleophilic attack at the intronic 5' splice site, thus starting the first of two transesterification reactions that mediate splicing. The record is from Rfam by way of RNAcentral. Lineage: Eukaryota; Metazoa; Chordata; Mammalia; Eulipotyphla; Erinaceidae.
UCCGCUUCUCGCCCUUUUGGCUAAGAUCAAGUAUAGUAUCUGUUCUUAUCAGUUUGAGGAUUUAAAAAAAUAAGUCCAAAAAAAAAAAGGUACUUCAU